AAGUAGAAAGCGAUUAAUUGCAGUCAAUUUCGACUUGACCUUAAGGUAUUUAUUAUAUCUCUACUUA
This 67-nucleotide transfer RNA is filed under the name Tanaocerus koebelei. RNAcentral's name for it is "tRNA-Arg". The record is from RNAcentral. Lineage: Eukaryota; Metazoa; Arthropoda; Insecta; Orthoptera; Pneumoridae.